AUUGAACGCUGGCGGCAGGCCUAACACAUGCAAGUCGAGCGGAUGAAGGGAGCUUGCUCCUGGAUUCAGCGGCGGACGGGUGAGUAAUGCCUAGGAAUCUGCCUGGUAGUGGGGGAUAACGUCCGGAAACGGGCGCUAAUACCGCAUACGUCCUGCGGGAGCAAGUGGGGGGUCUUCGGACAUCACGCUCUCAUAUGAGCCUAGGUGGGGGUAGCUAGUUGGUGGGUUAAAGGCCUACUAAGGCGAGGAUCGGUAGCUGGACUGCGAGGAUGAUAGGUCACAUGGGAGGUGGGACAGGGUCCAGGGUCCUACGGGAGGCAGCAGUGGGGAAUGUUAGGCAGAAGGCGAAAGCCUUAUCCAGCGAGGCCGCGUGUGUGAAGAAGGUCUUCGGAUUGUAAAGCACGUUAAGUUGGGAGGAAGCGCAGUAAGUUAAUACCUUGCUGUUUUGACGGUACCAACAGAAUAAGCACCGGCUAACUACGUG
Molecule: ribosomal RNA, 484 nt
Filed under: uncultured bacterium
Lineage: Bacteria
Description: partial 16S ribosomal RNA
Rfam family: Bacterial small subunit ribosomal RNA
Source: RNAcentral